RNAcentral lists this transfer RNA (71 nucleotides) under Chrysoporthe cubensis. RNAcentral's name for it is "tRNA-Arg". It matches the Rfam family "tRNA". From Rfam's summary of the family: Transfer RNA (tRNA) molecules are approximately 80 nucleotides in length. Their secondary structure includes four short double-helical elements and three loops (D, anti-codon, and T loops). The record is from RNAcentral. Lineage: Eukaryota; Fungi; Ascomycota; Sordariomycetes; Diaporthales; Cryphonectriaceae. RNAcentral also lists the same sequence under 1 other name.
AUGGCUAUACUUUAAAGGUAAUAUAUCUGUUUUCUAAAUAGAGAGUCUUGAUUCGAUUUCGACUAGUCGUA